UACCUAGGAAUCUGCCCGAUAGUGGGGGAUAACGUUCGGAAACGAAUGCUAAUACCGCGUACGUCCUACGGGAGAAAGCAGGGGACCUUCGGGCCUUGCGCUAUCGGAUGAGCCUAGGUCGGAUUAGCUAGUUGGUGAGGUAAUAGCUCACCAAGGCCACGAUCCGUAGCUGGUCUGAGAGGAUGAUCAGUCACACUGGAACUGAGACACGGUCCAGACUCCUACGGGAGGCAGCAGUGGGGAAUAUUGGACAAUGGGCGAAAGCCUGAUCCAGCCAUGCCGCGUGUGUGAAGAAGGUCU
This 300-nucleotide ribosomal RNA is filed under the name uncultured Pseudomonas sp. RNAcentral's name for it is "bacterial SSU rRNA". It matches the Rfam family "Bacterial small subunit ribosomal RNA", at positions 114 to 417 of the family's 1533-position model. The record is from RNAcentral. Lineage: Bacteria; Pseudomonadati; Pseudomonadota; Gammaproteobacteria; Pseudomonadales; Pseudomonadaceae.